GGUGGCUCAGUGGUAGAGUGCUUGCCUUGCAUGCCUGACGCCCUGGGUUCGAUCCUCAGCACCA
This 64-nucleotide transfer RNA is filed under the name Dipodomys ordii (Ord's kangaroo rat). It matches the Rfam family "tRNA". Rfam says of the family: Transfer RNA (tRNA) molecules are approximately 80 nucleotides in length. Lineage: Eukaryota; Metazoa; Chordata; Mammalia; Rodentia; Heteromyidae. The record is from Rfam by way of RNAcentral.